RNAcentral lists this unclassified non-coding RNA (240 nucleotides) under Hevea brasiliensis (rubber tree). Lineage: Eukaryota; Viridiplantae; Streptophyta; Magnoliopsida; Malpighiales; Euphorbiaceae. The record is from RNAcentral.
AAAUAAAAAAGUCAAAUUAUUCGCACGCUACUCAAGAUCGGCUUGGUAAAAAUUAAUUUAGCUCGCCUCAACUCUUUUCUAAAUGAAAAGAGCUUGGACUUACUGACAUUUGACUCUUUUGGAAAAUGAGAUCGACUCAAGCUCAACAAAAUUUUGACAAACUAAGCUUGAGUACUUCAAACUCGGCUCGACCUAGUUCAUCUACAUUCCUAAUGGUUUUCUUCCCUCGCAUAAUGUAGU